Callithrix jacchus (white-tufted-ear marmoset) is the source of this 22917-nucleotide non-coding RNA. The record is from RefSeq and is a predicted model, not a curated record. NCBI's taxonomy places the organism in Eukaryota, Metazoa, Chordata, Mammalia, Primates, Cebidae.
UCCGGUCAGAGGCCACACUUCCCAGCAGUCAGGACGGCGCCUGCGGCCCGCGCAGCUCUCCUUUCCAAACAGGAAGCAGGGCAGCCGCGUGCGGAGGGUGCGGGGGGGAACGUGGUCCCCGCGUGGCGUGGCCUCGUGCUCACAGCGUGGGACGGGGCUUCCGUGUGCCCGCAGCAGGCCGAAGAAAGGAAGAUGGAGACGCUGGCUGAGUCCUCCACACCCAGCUGCCGGAGGGCGGGGAAGCCACUGUUUAUUCCUGGACACCCGGUGCGGCCCUGGGGCCUUAGGCAGGAGCACACACCAUGCUGAGCUUGGCCAGAGGCAGGGACAAGCCGGGCCUCCAGGACGCCUGACCUCGGGGCAGCCCCGGCGGUGCCCUCGCGGGACCUGUGGCAGAGCCGUGCAGGACCGCCCCAUGGGUGCCCCGUCCGCCCUGGACGUCUCACGGGGCCGGAGACUGCGAGGGCAGGUCCUAGACGCGCUUCUAGACAUUACCGCACCCCUUCUAGGAAGAUGCUGAGCGUCCCCAGGGACAAGUUGGAGCCUGAAGCCUCAGAGUUGCCAACGAUGAAGGAAAGAAGCAAAGAUUCGGAGCCACAGGGCAAGCUGAGGACAAGAGAAGGCUGUACAGGAAGCACAGUGCCAGCAGUGGCUUCUGACAAGGGCCUCAGGAAGCUUCACUCUUGGCAGCAGGUGGAGGGGAGCCCAUGUGUGCAGAGUUCUCAUGGUGAGAGGGAAGUAAGAAUUGGGAGGCAUCAGGUUUCUUUACUAAACAGGUCUCACAGGGACGACUAGAGUGAGACUCACCCACUCAUCACCAUGAGGGUCAGGCCCUAUGUGAGGGAUCUGCCCCCGUGGCCCAAACACCUCCCACCGGGCCCACCUCCAGCAUUGGGAUUCAAUUUCAACACGCGGCUUGGAGGGCCACAUACCCAGACCACAGCAGCCACCUGAGCCUGUCCGCUCCCACAGCUCCCGCAGGUCCCGCACGGCUGGCCUGUUGAGGGGCGGCCUUAAGGGGUCCUGUCUGCCCCCACCUCUGAAGAGCAGCCCGAUGAGGCCGGGGCCCUGGCGCUGCAUCCCUAGCCCAGUUCUUGGGAGUUUCUUUACGAGACGCCGCUGAGAAGGGCAUUUGCCUCGACCGAAUGGCCUACCUCUGCCCUCUCCUGUGAAACAGAAUCAGAGCUCCAGAGCUGCAGAGCUGAGAGGGGCUUCGGCUGAAUCCACCUCUUCAUUUUAAUGCUGACCAAUCUGAGUCCUGGGGCUGGAGACAGACAUGCCAGGAUGCUCCCCAAACAGGAGGUGACGCUGUGGAGGGGACACUGCACCCUGAUCUGCUCUUUGCAGCGCUGGUGGAGGGUAGAGCAUGGGCCCUCUCAGCCUCCCCUGGUGGGUCGGAUGGAUUUCCUUAAAAACUACGGAGAAGCUGAACGUCCAGGAUGGAAUAUCCCCUUUGACAAAUGUUAUUGGGGUUAGCGCUGGGGGAUGACCAGAAGCCACGUGUGUGCACUGACGCAGAACUGCGAACUCACAGGAUGGGUGGAACAGAACGCGCUUGUGGCAAGCCUCCCCCUUGCUGUGUGACGGCGGUACUCGCUUGCGGCCUGUGUCUCGUGGAGGUGGGAACCACUACCUGUUGGGAGGCCAGGACUGGCCGACAAUGAAAAGACGACUGUUUUCCGAACUCACUCAGAGGCUUGUGGAUCCGACCUUUACUUCCAGAUCAGAGAAAAUGAUUUUGAUUUCAUGUUUUUGUUACAACGACAUUUGAAGGUAUGACCUUUACAGCGACAUUUGUCUCUCACUCAAACGCUUUUUGCCCCCUUAGGUUUUGUGCUGAAGUCAAAGUGGAUCAGGUGGUGCGGACGGCUUCUGCCUGAGUGCACCCGCGGAGAACGUCAUUCCCGUCCUCUCCUCCCUUCACGCUGUUUCUGAGGGGUUCGGAUGUGUUGAAGACCCCUCUCCAACUUUCCAGGGAGCUGGGAGCACAAGAGGCAAUUUUAUUUUAUUUUUUUGAGGCAGAGUCUCACCCUAUCGUCCAGGCUGGCGUCGAGUGCAGUGGUGCGAUCUUGGCUCACUUCAUCCUCUACCUCCGGGUUCAAGUGAUUCUCCUGCCUCAGCCUCCUGAUUAGCUGAAAUUUAUUUAACUCAGCUAAUUAUUAUACUUGUAGUUGAGACGGGGUUUCACCAUGUUGGCCAGGCUGAUCUCAAACUUCUGACCUCAGGUGAACCGCCCGCCUCUGCCUCCCAAAGUGCUCAGAUUACAAGGAUGGUUUUCGUUUCCUGCCCCAGCCGGGCCAGCUCCCAGUCCAGUGGGCUCGGCUGAGUGGGGUCUCCUCCCACAGCUGCCCUGUGCUUUGGGGUCUGCCUUCCUGACCUUGGGUUUCAGAUGAUUUGGAUCUGUGACAUCGGAGUCCUGCAGCCCUGGGUUCUCUGUGGCAGCUGCGAGCGGGGCGGCUUUAGCGAUGAACACCACAAGUGGAGCACCGUGGCCUCCCUGGGGUGGCCCAGAGGGCAGCCCGUCUAGUGAGGGAAGAGGGGCAGGUGCAUGGGGAGGUUGUCACACCCCAAUCCUGAGAUGGACCUAACCAAGCUGCCCCAAAGCAGACACUGCCUGCAGACAGGCGGCCGCCACAGCUGACUUUAUCUCCCAGCUCUGGGGGUUCAAGGCCCACGGUCCUGGUACGACCGGUUUGGUUUCUGGUGGGGGCCCAUCUGCGCCGUCACGUGCAAGAGAGAGUUCUGGUGUCUCUUCUGAUAAGGGCACUGAUCCCACCCUUGCGACCUCAUCUAACCCUAAUGACUCCCUUAGAGGCCACGUCGGUGACCCUGGGGGCCAGGACUCCCACAGAUGGACUCGGGGACACAAACAUUCGCUCCUUGAGACAUGCAGACAAACAGGAGAAAAUGAAUUCCCAUAGAAAUCAGGAUGGAAGCCAUGCAGAGGACCCUCAGGGCAAAGGAAGGUGGGGGCUGUGGCCUCUCUAUGCCCAGAGAGCAGCCAGGGGGCAUCAGUGGAGGGGAGGUCACCAUGGAGGAUGGGAGCCUGCUGGGUGGUAACUGGGGGUUUGUCACCAUGUCACAUCUUAGGCAACCACCUAUAAUAAUCACAAGCUUCAGCAUGUUUAACAAGCUUUUAUUUCAAUACAAGGCAAUCAACUCAAAAGGACAGAGUUAGAAAUGGGACAUAUAGACAGUUGUAUUAGUUUUAUGUGCAGAGCAGGAUCUGCUUGCUUCCUUCUGGUGCUGACCGGCACUGUUUAAAAGAAUCUACGGAAUCCUAACAGCAACGGACGCUGACGCUGCUGGGCACACAAGACCCUCUCGGCCAGCGUCACCUCAAGGCACUUCCCCGCCUGCCGACAGUGGUUUGGAGACUGGGGGCUGUGGCACUGUGGGUGGCUCCAGGGCCUGGGAUCCCGUGAGGGCUCCUGAGCAGAUGCACCACCCUCAGUGUGGGGAGGACGAGGGAGUGGAUGCCCACCCAAGGGGGUGACGGAAAGGGCUUCCUAAGUCCACUAGAGCUCUGAGGCCCCCCGGCAUCUCCCUCCCCCAGGGCGGCAUGUGCCCCCAUGUGCCACCCGCCCCGCCCUGCUCUGUGGUCUCUGCUUGGCCUGCUCUGGGUGCCUCCAGCUCCGCCAUACCCUGCACAAGUCUCUGCCUCAGUCUGCUGCACCCAACAACUCUGAGGUUUUCAGGAGGCGAAGGGGUGGAAGAAGUGACUCUCGAGCUCCUGGAGCUGUGUGGGGAAGGGUCCUUGGGGGCCCUGGAGUGGAGAGACACACCCGAGGUUUUCCAGCCACCCAGUGGGGAGGCGCGGUGGCUGGAUUUGGAGAUGCCUGCAGAGGUGGCCGCAGGAGGCUGGGUUCUCCCUUGUAUUUCUAGACUAGAGGCAGUGGCAGAGGUUGGUGUGGGAUGGGAGGGGAGAGCAGCCAGGACGUAGAAACGUUCCAAACCUGUGAGAAGCUCCCGUUUCCAGACCCUUAAGUAUCCUUAGUCUGUAAGAAACAACACUCCAGCCAGAAGACCCUCUCAGGUUUAUUCUCAGAAAUCAACCUGUUCUUGACUGUGGAGCUGCUUGCGUCUUUCUUUCCUCUUUCCGUGACUCUUACAGAGAGCAGCCGAGACAACUCCACAGGCUCCAGCCGGUGUCGCUGUGGGGUGGUGUUGCAGAAUAUUCAGGAGACUGGAGAGACCAAUGGGUGAAACAGGAGGGUUUUAUGAAAGUGGCCACUGGCUCAUCAGAUUAGCAUCCUAUGGCUGAGCGAAGGAGAGAGAAAAUGGGUACUUUCUAUACCUCCAGGAUGACGCAGCAGCUAACAGGUUUGCAGAAGCCAGAACAGCGAGCAGCUAAUUCAUUUGUAACAUAUCUUGUGAUGUACGUUAUAUUUGAAAAAUAGCAUUUUGAGAAAUGCAUUGUCCAUCCUUUGGGUGUUCUUUUGCCCUGUGACCUCGCAGAUGGUCAGCAAGAGAAACAGGAGUCUUGAAAUGCCUGGGAGCUUUGCUGAGAAUGUGGGGAGAAUAGGUGAGGUAGGUUUUUCAGGGAGUUAGUUAAUUUUAAACAGUCAGGGGCUAGGUUUUAUAUUAAGCAACACACGACAGCAAAAUUUACUUUAUCAUAUAGCAACUACAAAUGAUAGGGCUUUAUUUUUACUAUUAUUGCUAUUAUUUAAUGCCCUUCUUCAGUGGGAGGAAGAGAGGAUCUGGGAUGACGCCACGUGCUUUCCGUGGCUGCCUGGGUGGGUGCGGCGGCCACCUGGGAGGGCUGUCUGAGCACGUGGCAGGAGGCAGCAUCAGCCUCAUGAGAUCUGGGGUGUGCACGGGAUGUCCAGAAGCCAUCGGAGAUGUGUGUCUGGGCGGGGUGCUGAUGGGGAGGGUGGGCUUCUGUGGCGAUUAGGGCAGGGGAAUGAGGCCGUGUAGGGGUGUGAGGCCUAAGGGUUGCAGCAGAUACCUGGGUCCACAUCGGGACAGCAUUGCUGGCUAAUGCCAAUCCCACCUGGCUUGGGGACAGGCUUGAAUGUGAGGUCUGUCCUGGGGAAAGAGUAACUUCUUUUUUUAGUUAUACUUUUACAUUCUGGGGUACAUGUGCAGAACGUGCAGGUGUGUUACAUAGCUAUACACGUGCCGUGGUGGUUGGCUGCACCCAUCACCCUGUCAUCUACAUUAGGUAUUUCUCCUAAUGCUAUGUCUCCCCUACCUCCCACCCCCUGCUGUCCCUCCCCAGCCCCCAACCCCCAACAGGCCCCAGUGUGUGAUGUUCCCCUCCCUGUGUCCAUGUGUUCUCAUUGUUCAGCACCUACUUAUGAGUGAGAACAUGAGGUAUAUCGUUUUCUGUUCUUGUGUUAGUUUGCUGAGAAUAAUGGUUUCCAGCCUCAUCCAUGUCCCUGCAAAAGACAUGAACUCAUCCUUUUUUAUGGCUGCAUAGUAUUCCAUAGUAUAUAUGUCCCACAUUUUCUUUAUUCAGUCUACCAUUGAUGGGCAUUUGGGUUGGUUCCAGGUCUUUGCUAUUGUGAACAGUGUCACAAUAAACACACGUGUGCAUGUGUCUAUAGUAGAAUGAUUUCUAAUCCUUUGUGUAUGUACCCGUCAUGGGAUUGCUGGGUCUCAGUAGUCACUGACAAGUCCAGUGGCUUCCCGAGCCAUGCUCUUGGUGUUACUCCUGGUUUCUGUCUCAUUCACAGUAGGAUUUGGAGUAGUUUACAAAGGUUAACAAAGUCUGGGGAGCCAGGGAAGCGGGAAUUAAGAAAAAACCCACAGGACAGAGUGGAGUGUGUGGUGACGUCAGCGGCCACAUGGACGCCUCCGAUUGUGCUGGGAGUACUGCUGUGGGCUGAAGGUGAGUCCAUCUCCUGAAACCGCUGGUCCCAAUCCUCAUGGCACCUGUUUUUAACUCGGAUUUCCAGCUCCGUUCACAGAGACCUGGACGCAGUGGGCCUGGGCUGGGCCCUGGAACCUGGGUUUCCAGCAAGUGAUGUGAGUUUCAGGAAUGAAGCCAGCCACAUCCUGAGCUGCAGGUGGGGCAGGUGUCUCUGACCCCAGGGUCCUGCCAGUCUGGGAUGCCUGGCUCCUGCUGCAGGCCUGGGUAUUGGAGAGUGGGCAGGCAGAGGCGGGGGCCUCAAAGCCAGGGAGGCAGGGGCUCCUGACAAGGGCCUGGCUCUCCCACGCCAGCCUCGGGCGCCUGAGCUUCCUCACCCACUCGGGGGCUUCGCCUGCAUCCUGGAAAUUUUCCUGGAAGGUGACUGGGUCUGGGGAGCUGCUGAUGUGGAGGAGGCAGACCCAGGAGACUGGGUGGCCCAGGCUCUGUGGGUUGUGCCCUCUCUGUGGGGCCUGGCUGGUGUUUGGCCCCAGGCAGGCGGUGUGGAGGCAGGGUGGCUGCUUGGGUCUCCUUGGGAAAACGUGAUGGUCAGCCACUGCCUGGGGCAGGGAUUGUGGCUGGUCACAGCCACUUUCUCACUCCUCUAGCAUCUCUGAGCCCAGCCCUGCCAGGCGCCAGCACCUGACGUUCCAGAGGACCAAGGCUUCCACCCUGGGUGUGGCCCUGCUCACGGUGCCUGCCCUAACAGGGAACCAAGUGCUGGCCCCUGAGCCCUGGAGCCACCUCUGAGUGGAGCCUGGUGUUGCCUCGGGGUCUGGGCAGGGGGUGCCCAGAAGCUUUGGGGUAGGAUGAGGCCUCUUGGACAAUCAGAACGGGGCUGGUUCUGGGAACCAGAUCUGGGGACAUAUCCCCUGGAGAGGGCGGAGGCCUCCCCAGCCCCUUACAGCUGGCAGGGCUCCAGCAUCCCCAAGCCAGGGGGAGCCUGGAGUCUGCCCUGCUGUCUCCCUGGCUGAAUUCUCUGUUGACACAAAGAUGACACCUCCUUGGGAGUUGCUAAGGACUUUGAACAGAGGAGAGCCCCGCAACCUCCCAGCACCAGGCACUGUGCAGCUGAGCCCAACACCCAGAAGCUGCUGUCAUCUGGGUCCCUGGGACACUGCUGUGGGCUGGUUCACCCACUCCAGCCCUUGCCACUCAGAGCUGCAAGGUGGCUUCACCACUUUCUUAUGGGCAGUCUCCGCCUUCCAGAUUCUGAGAGACCGCUGGUGCCUCCCUUCACCCUCCCCAGCUGCUGUCGCCCAGAGCCUCAUCUCUGGGACUUCACUACCCUGCCACUCCUCCCACUGACACACACGUGUACACAGAUGCACAUGCAUGCACGCACACAUGCAUACAGACACAUACAUGCACACACGGAUACGAACACAAUGUACACACAUGGACACACAUGAACAUACACACAGACGAAUACACAGACAUGCACACACACCUGCCCUGCACACACAGAUAUGUGCACAUGGACACACAUGAACACACAUGCACACAGACACAUGAACACAUGCACACAUGCACUCAUGCACACAGGCACAGAUGUAUGCAUGCACACACGCAUACAUGCACACACAAACACGAACACAUACAGACACCUACAUGCACACGGAAACACAUGAACAGACAUGCACACAUGAAAAGACAUGCAUACAUAUACAUACACACACACGAACACACAUACAUGCACACAUGAACACGCACACACAUGAACACAGAUGCAGACAAUGCCCACACAUGAACAUGCACCCAUAUGAACACACAUGCACACAUGAACACGCACACACAUGAACACAGAUGCAGACAAUGCCCACACAUGAACAUGCACCCAUAUGAACACACAUACAUGCACACAUGAACACGCACACACAUGAACACAGAUGCAGACAGUGCCCACACAUGAACAUGCACCCAUAUGAACACACAUGAACACAGACACAUGCACAAUGCAUACACACAUGAACAUAUAAAUGCACCCAUAUGAACACAUACAUGCACACACAUGAACACAUGCACAUACAUGCAUACACGAACACAUGCACGUACAUGCACGCAGAUGCCUACACACAUGCAUACAGACACAUGAACACACAUGCACACAUGCAUACAUGCACACAUGCACAUAAGUCACGAACACAUGCACACAGAUUUAUACAUGCACACACAUGCACUCACAUGCACAGAGGCACAUAGAAGCAUUUAUGUGUAUACAUGCACACCCAUGCAUGCAAACAUACAUACAUGCCACCACAUGCACACAUAUACAUGCACACACAUGUGCAUAGAUGCACAGACUCGUGGACACAGAUGCACACAUGUGCACACAGACAUGCACACACACACACUACAGCAUGUGCACCCUGCCCACCCUAAGCCUGGUCUGCUGUCCCUGCUGUGCCCACUUUUCCUUGGUCCCUGAAACCGCUCUCCCCAGGACCCCUCCCUGCCUGGACACAGAGCAGGGUCCUGUGAAGUCAGGCUCUGAAGGAGUGGGGUCUCUCAGCCCCUCUGGAAGCCUGUCUCCAGGACCUGCCCUCCCCAGCGGAGCAUUUGGGGCCAGCAGCCCUCAGCCCUGCAGUGUCCAGACCUGGUCCUGGGGAGCUGGGGAGGCGGGUCAGGACCCGCAUGUUUGAUUGGGACCCAUUUGACAGGAGACUCUGGGCAUCAUCCCUAAAUUAAAUCUUGAUUUCAGAAUUUUGGAGUUUACCAAAAUGGACUUAUUUCUCAGUAUUUCCAAAGGUUCGAUUGUGCUUUAAAAUAAACAAUACACAUCUGAACUUAUUAAAAUAAGUUUACAUGAACAUUCCAAAGCCUCCCACCCCAGGUGUGAGGGUGGAGACAUUACUGGCUGGGACUCCAUGGCCCCGGGGCCUCUGUGACGCCCAGGCUCCUCUGCCGGAUGGCGUGACACUCUGCAGCGGUGAACAUGCCUGGACCCUCACCGGGGCGGGGUUCUGCUCAAGGGCACUGUGUGGGCCGGGGGCCGGGUCUCGCUGGCCUGGGGCCCGUUCAUGGCAAUGGCUGCCACCAUCUGAAAACCGGAUACUAUCUCUAGUCAACUGCUCUGUUUCUUUCUGUGUUCUGUUUAUUUUCUGAGAACUAGAAGAGACUAGUCAUCUGCUCCGGCCUAGUCUUGGUGAAGUCUGAAAUCCCACUAUCAGCACUCACUUCCUUUGAUCAAAGACGGUUCUGUUUAGAUUCUUCCUGAAAAUCACCAUCGGCCCUGGGAUGGCUGCUCCAGGAUCCUGAGGUGGGGGAUGUGAGAGGUCCCUGCCUCUUGUUUGGGGCAGUGGGUCGGGCUGUGCAGAGGCCACAGGCUGAGGUCAUGGUUCACAGUUCUGACCCAUCCCCUGUCACCUAAGACAGCCAGCUGCCUUCCAGCCAUCCUUUUCUGGGGUGGUAUCAGGAGCCCGACCUCAGCUCUUGUAUCAGUUCCUGUUACCCUGGGGCUUUCUGCCUCCAGAGCUGGGGGUCAACGCCUGGUCCCCAGGGAGAGGCCUGGCUGGACCACGAGCUGGGCCUCGAAUCUGCAGGAACUGGCUGGUCUUAUUACGCCCAGAUUUAUUUUUUGGAUUCCUGUGAGAAGGACAAGAAAAUAAGUGUGUGUGAGGCAGGUGGGCGGUGGGAGAAGUCGCCUGUGCAGUGGGUGAGAACACAGGAGCUUCCUCCUCGGGGAGGGGGCCAGGUGUUUCCAGGUGAGGCAGGUGGGCGGUGGGAGAAGUCGCCUGUGCAGUGUGUGAGAACACGGGAGAUUCCUCCUCGGGGAGGGGGCCAGGUGCUUCCAGGUGAGGCAGGUGGGCGGUGGGAGAAGUCGCCUGUGCAGUGGGUGAGAACACGAGAGAUUCCUCCUUGGGGAGGGGGCCAGGUGCUUCCAGGUGAGGCAGGUGGGCGGUGGGAGAAGUCGCCUGUGCAGUGGGUGAGAACACGGGAGUUCCCUCCUUGGGGAGGGGCCCAGGUGUUUCCAGGUGAGGCAGGUGGGGGGAGGGAGAAGUUGGCUGUGCAGUGGGUGAGAAUAAGGGAGUUCCUUCCUUGGGGAGGGGCCCAGGCACUUCCAGGAGGAAACAGCGCAUUGGGCUGUCUCCAAGUCAUCCCUGGGGCAACACAGGUCAGAAGGUGGGUGCAGCUGCUCCAGGCUGGUGGCUGCCUCGGGUCGACUGCUCCUGCUGCCUGGAGCUCUGUUCCCCUCCCUACGCCGGGGCUGCACUGAGGCCCCCAGCCCCCUGAGCUGAAUCAGUGGCCGGCGAGCUCUUCUGGCUGCUGUCUUCGCUCUCAGUUUCUUUUUUCUGUUUCUUUUUGUUUGUUUUCAGACAAGGUCUUGCUCUGUUGCCCAUACUGAGGUGCAGUGUGGAGACCCUGGCUCACUGCAGCCUUGCUGAGCUAGGGUGAUCCUCCACCUCAGCCUCCUGAGUGGCUGGGACUGCAAGCACCUGCUGCCAGGCUGGCCUUGAACUCCUGGCCUGAAGCAAUCUUCCCAUCUCCUCUCCCAAAGUGCUGGGGCUACAGAGACUUUGGAGAGAAAGUUUGCAGAACAAGUAAAAGACCAGAGAUAAGAAAGCUGUCAGCAGGUUGCUAGAGCUGCACUACUCCAGAAACGCAGCCCCGAGGGCACACUCAGAAACCUGCUGCCUCCUCCAGCUCCUGCCCUGGUUGGGAAGGUCCAGGUUCAGCCUGAUGGACACACACGGGAGGACAGAGGCCUCGAGGCCGCUGUCUGCCCACAGAAGUGCAGGGCCUGGCCUCCUCCAUGAGGACGAGGGCUGCAGGCUGCAGCAUUCUGCAAACAUUGGAUGCUUAAAAAGAAUGGAGAUGACUGUGCCCUUCCUGGUGGAGCUUCGAUGCUGCCCUGAGAAUUCCGGCUGCUUCUCGGGCUGCAAAGAGUGAAGGUGAGGGCGUGGAUGGAGGCCUGGAGCGCUCCCGGCACCUGUGCUCCAUGAGGCACUGCUCCUCAUGGCUGCCAUCACUGCAGCACCAUCCCUCUUUCCAGAGGGGAAACUGAGCCUCCAAGAGGGGAAGGAAGGUUCCCACGGCCAUGUGGCUGGAUGGGGCAUUUCAACCGACUUCUGUCCCCCUGAGUGUGUGCUGGCAUGUGCGUGAGCUAGGGGCUCACUUGGAGCUGAGGAGGCUGUUGGGGCUCCCGGGCAGAUGCCUGGGCUGGGUUUGUACCCCAAGUCUGUGCCUAGAGCCUGAGGGAUGUGCCUCAGGCCAGGGUCUGGUGAGGACCCCGCAGGGGAGUGAGGGGUCUUGGGGAUUUGUGUGGGCGCCGAGCCUGGGCCUGGGGACAGUAGUCAUGCCUGGGCUCUGCCUGUCUCUGGCUCCUGCUCUGGAUAACAGGCCAGCAGGGUUGGAGAGCGAGCCUGGAGUGUGUAGAGCCUCCUCCUGGAGUGCUCGGGAGCUGGGGUGAGAAGGCUGGAAGCCACCGUGGGACAGAGAAUGGGGAGGGGCCCUGCAAUCCCUCCCAGCUCUGCCCUGGCCUCCACCCUGGCAUCUCCAGGACUGCUGACCCCGUGCUCCUCCGUUUCCACCCGGGUGCUCCUCCCUCUUUGCCCGGAAAGCUCCUCUCUUGGCCCCUGGUGUCUCCAGGAUGGCCGGUCGGGCGCUCUUCUCUCUGCCCCGCAGUGUGUAGGCCACUCUUUCCUCUGUUCUGCCCCAUGGGACGCUCUUGCUCCGGGGCCCGCUUCUGAGGGUGAGUGGGUGGUCCCCAGACCUGGCCUGGGGAACCCUGACUCCUGCUGUCUGGCUCUGACAGUCACGGGGGUGCGGGGCAGGGGAAAAGUGAGGGCUUGUGAUGUGGGGGUGGCGAAAUCCAGACCUUGGGUGUCCGGAUGCCACAAGGUUGCAAGGAAGGCUUUGGUGGAAGCCCCAGGCAGCUCUGGGGCUGGAGGGCUCCACAGGGUGGUCCCAAAAGGGGCUGGUGGUAGGCCUGGUGCCCUUAGACCAGUUGUGGGGUGGGCCCCAUCCCUGGGAAGGGCAUCGGCGUGGGCCUGGGGCAUCUGGCUGAGGGCAGUUCAUGGGGGGCUGUGAGCUACCAGCAGCCCUACUGCCAGCCGCUGGGAGCCAGUGCUUGGGCCUGGACAGGGGCCUGUGGGGCUCCGGCCUCUGAGGCGUGGCCCAAGGUGGAAGAGCCUCAGUUUCCCAAUUUCCCUCCAUUCACUGCCACCUUUUCACAGGAAUGUCUAAUCCUGAAAAAGAAGGAUGACUGCAAGUAAUGGGAUUACUUUUUUCCCUUUUUUAAGAAAAUCGGGACCACAAGAGUUAUGUAUCAGUGGCUUCCUUCAGAGUAGAUACCCCAGAGAACAGAGAGAGAGGCUCAGGGCUGUGGGAGAAGACAGACAGAGAGAGAGGCAGAGAAGAGGAGGCAGCCGGGACAGAGUGGGAGACAGACACCUUCUGCUUAACACAACCUCAAAAGAGAAGCAAAAGGAAUCAGAAAAAAUAUUUGCAAACUCUUCAGCCAACAAGGAACCUCCAAGGAACUUACCCAGCUCCACAGUGACAAAAGAGCCCGAUUGAAAGAUGGGCAAAUUUCAGCAGGUCAUGGACUAAAAAAAUACAUAAGAAAAAUGGGCAAAUGAUCGGAGCAGAUGUUUCUUGAAAGACCUACUCUUGGCCAGGAAGUGUGUGAGGACACACCCAGCACCACUAAUUAUAGGGAAAUGCAAAUUUGAACCCCUGGUGAGAUACCACCUCACGCCUGCUAGAAUGGUUUUUAUCAGAAAGACAAGAUCACAAAGGCGGGAGGUGGAGGAAACAGGGCCAUUUGCUGUGUGCCGUUGGAGGGAAUGUGAGUGAGAACCCCUCCUACGCUACAGAGAGUGGCUGGAGUUUCCUGAAAACACUACAAAUAGGGGCACCGCAGGGUCCAGCAGUCCCAGUGCUGGCCGUACACCCCAAAGAAAGGAGACCCGGCCAUCAAAGAUGCAGUGGUGUGCCCCUGUUCACUGCAGCACUAUUCACAAUGGCCAGGAUCUGGAAUCCACCCGAGUGCCGGUCAACAGACGGACGGGUAAGGAAGACGCGGUGCCACGCACAGUGGAUACUAUUCAGCCGGAGGAAAAAGGAAUCCUGUCAUCUCAGCCACAAGGAUGAGCCUGCAGGAAUUUGGUACGGGAAAUCAGCCAGGCUCAGAAAGACAGACACCCCAUCAGCUCACUCCUAUGCAGGAGCUAAAAAAGCUGAACUCCAGGCCAUGGUGAUGGGCUGGUGGCUGCAGAGGCUGGUGGGGGGCACAGAGUUAGAGCCACAGGAGAAUACACUCUAGUGUUCGCGGUGCUCCAGGCAACUGUGGUUGACAACAAUUUAUGCUUUCAGACAGCGAGAAGAGGGGCUUCAGAAUGUUCCCACCACAAAGAAUGGACAAAGGUUUGAGGUGGCAGGCCCAGGGACCGCCCUGAUCUAUGAGGGUCCCACAUCACACAUGAGCAGAACAAGAACUGCCCUGGUCUGACGAUCCCACAUCAUACAUAGGCAUUGAAACAUCACGCUGUGUUCCAGAAAUGGGUGCAAUUACUGUGUGUCAAUUAAAAAAAGUGAGCAGACAGGCAGGGCGAGCUGGGCGGUGGAGGUGGAAUCAGACUCAGCUGAUGCGGCGGGCAUUUCUUCCCUGCCUCCUGUGAUGCGGAGACCCGACCUCAUUCCCAUGCCGUUCCCAGGCUUCCUUCAGAGCCCCGCGUGCUGUGGGGAGCUGCGUGGUGGGGUUGACGAUGGCCACAUCCCGGCACCUCUGGCUGCUGCCGCCUUCCAAGACAGCUCACUUCUGCGCCAUCCAGCCCACCAGCCAGCAUUGCCUCCGCAGACCACUUGGUGCUAGUGGGGUGUGCACAGCAGCAGUCUUUCUGUACCCACAGAGGCGGCAGCAGAGGAGCCACAGAGAGCAUGGGGCUUCUCCACCUUGCCUGGCCCCUCACAGGUGGAAGGGGCUUCUCCACCUCACACGGUCCCUCACAGGUGGAAGGGGGGCUUCUCCACCUCACACGCACGGCCCCUCACGGGUGGAAUGGGGGCUUCUCCACCUCACACAGACCCUCACAGGUGGAAGGGGGGCUUCUCUACCUCGCCUGGCCCUCACAGGUGGGACACGUCCCCUCUGGACUGAGGGGCGUACAUCUUGUCCUGCAGGACAGAGGCCCCUGGCUCCCCUAAAUACCGUCCCGUGGAGGUGACCACAGAGAAACCACCUGAUGGCCAGAAAACCCACCGUGAUAUUUACCAACUGCACUCAACUAUAAAAAGCAAAUUCCCUAAGCCAUCUCGUUUUCCUAAUAAAUGCAGCGACGUAAUGGCCGAGACUAGCUUCUGAACAAAUGUGGGAACAGAAUGAACCCGCCAUUGUCUAGGAACAAAGGUGUGAUCAGAUUCUCUUUUCUAUUCAAUUAAUGUCUAUUCCGCUCAUUAUGAGGGUUCGCUAUUAGUGCUCUCCUUGGUUACUAAAGCACAGACACAGGCUCCGCCUGACCUGCUGGUGCUUCCCCAGGGAACACCCUGGGCUGGCUUCCUGCGUGUGCUGAGCGGACAGAGCGGGAGGAGCAAGCAGAGACGAGACGGUGGAGGCGGAGUGGAGCGAGAUGGCGGGCGUGCAGGGCGGCUUUUACAAACUAUUAAGUUAAAUUCCUGGAAAAAAAAUCAAGCUUCCCGGGCUGCCCUAUCAGUUUAUACAGCCCAGUAACACAUAACAACAGCAUCAGUCCGGUCCGGUUUCACAGGAAAAACCCCACUCCCACACAAUGGCGGCACGGUGGUCUCUGCGGAGUUCUGAGGACGAAUGCUCUGGUCUGCCACAUUCACUUUAGAUGCUUUGCAGGCAGGUGCUCUUCCUAGCCACCCAGCAGGAGGGCACUCGGGGCCACCACACCCAGCUGCCCCGGACGCAAUGUGUGUAGGACCCCUGCCACAGAGACAGACUCCGGGGAGUCCACUCACCCACCUUCAGGGCCCCCGAUGCAAUGUGUGCAGGACCCUGGCCAUGAAGACAGACUCUGGAGAGCCCACUCACCCACCCUCGGGGCCCCCCAAUGCAAUGUGUGCAGGACCCUGGCCAUGAAGACAGACUCUGGGGAGCCCACUCACCCACCUUUGGGGCCCCUGAUGCAAUGUGUGCAGGACCCUGGCCAUAAAGACAGACUCUGGGGAGCCUACUCAGCCACCUUCGGGGCCCCCGAUGCAAUGUGUGCAGGACCCUGACCAUGAAGACACACAGACUCUGGGGAGCCCACUCACCCACCCUCAGGGCCCCCAAUGCAAUGUGUACAGGACCCUGGCCAUGAAGACAGACUCCGGGGAGCCCACUCACCUACCCUCGGGGCUUUGGCGGCUCCCAGGUGGGGUCAUGACCUGGGCUUUCAGAGGAGGAUGGAAAAUUCCGUGCUGGCACCGAUUCCCCCCAGAGCAGGUGUUCGGUGCCGGGAAGUGAUUCCCUCCCGAGGUCGUCUGCAGCUGAUGGUGUAGACAGUGGGGCCGGAAGAGUGAUGGCUGAGGUGGGCGUGGCUCCAAAGAGGAUGGAUUCAGAGUCAGGCCCGGAACCUCACACACGGGGGCUCAGAACACCCAGGAGAGGGGGGCAUCUUUAAUGCGACUUCAUCUACCCACGAGGCGUGUGGGCAUGCCUGUGUGCACGCGUGCGAAUCUCCAAGGAAUUUUGAUCAACCCCAUUCCAAGAUCCCGAGGAAAACAGAUUUAUGGUUUUGUUAUUAAGAUAAAUUAGUGCCUUUCCUUCUAUGUUUUUGUUUUGAGACAGGGUCUUGCUGCCCAGCCUGGAGGGCGGUGGCACAUCUCAGGUCACUGCAGCCUCAAACUCCCUCCCAGGCUCAGCAGUCCUCCCGUCUCAGCACCACCUGCCACCUGGUAGCUGGGACUACAGGUGUGCACCACCAUGCCUGGCUAACUUUUGUAUUUUUCUUUUUUGUAGAGAAGGGGUUUCACCAUGUUCCCCAGGCUGAUUUUGAACUCCUGGGCUCAAGCAAUUCUCCCACCUCAGCCUCCCAAAGUGUGAGCCUGUGUCUGGCCUGGCGCAUUUCUCAGGUAUAGAAUUACAGUACACAGAUUUCUUUUUCUUUUCAUAAGAUCACAUCUCACCACAUUAAAAAAAAAUCAGUCUUAAGCAACACUUGUAAAAAUCAUCAAUGACUUGUGUGAUGGGUGGCCCACUGCGUGGAAGCUGUGAAUGGUCGGGAGCCCCUGCACAAGCCCCAGGCCCCAGUGGCACUUGGGAGGGAGGAGACCCUCAGUACCCUGCCAGUGCCCUGCUGUGAAGUCUGUGCACAGCCUGCCUGCCUGCCUGUGAAGCGUCCACACACCUGCCUGGCCGAGGCCUGCACACCGUAGAGUGGGGUGCACGGUCCCCCUCACCCCUUCUUGAUUAGCUCAUCGCUCUCCUCAGCCUCCCGGAUGCCUGCGUUUUCAAAUCCUGAAGCCCCCGGAGGCCCCUCUGCGUCUGCAUCCCCCAGUCACGGCCAUGCUAGCACACCAAGUGUCGAGCCGUGUGGGUGGAGAGAGCCCACCUCGCGGCUGGGAUCUGGAGGCUGUCUCAGCGCCCUCUCUACCCGGGGCGGGGAGCCGUGUGGGUGGAGAGAGCCCACCUCGCGGCUGGGAUCUGGAGGCUGUCUCAGCGCCCUCUCUACCCGGGGCGGGGAGCCGUGUGGGUGGAGAGAGUCCACCUCGAGGCUGGGAUCUGGAGGCUGUCUCAGCGCCCUCUCCACCCGGGGCGGGGAGCCGUGUGGGUGGAGAGAGCCCACCUUGUGGCUGGGAUCUGGAGGCUGUCUCCACGCCCUCUCCACCUGGGGCGGGGUGCAUGUCCCAGGCCACAUGCACUGGACAGGAAGGAAGCCUCGUCUGGGUAAUGAAAAUUUCCGACAAGUCUCCCUGCCCACUCGGAACCGGAGCAGGAGCUGGGGACUGAUGCUGAAGUGAGAGCCGUCCCCAGCUGGGACCCACUGUGGAGGGGGCACAGUAGGCCCACGGAGCCCGCUGGUGCAGUGAGAGGGACUCUUGCAGGUCCUCGGCAGCGGGCACCGUCCUCUGCCGCCCACUCCUCCCCUCGGCAUUUCCCCAGCCUCCCUUGCGUAUUUCCGUUGUGUGAGUGGGUUUCUCAGCCCUGCCCUCCAUUCCGCCGUUUCCAGCUCUAGCCAGUCUCCUAUUUAAUAAUGCUGGCAUCCUGUGAACACGUGUCCCUUAAUUUUAAAAUGAUUGUUCCUUUUCGGUUUCAUUUCUAGAAGUUUCGUUUGGUUCUUUUUCAAGUCUAGUUGUUCUCUUUUUCAAUGUGGUUAUUCUUCUUGUUUAUAUACCAUUUAAAAUGUUAAAGCCGAUUUCACCGCCCUUUUCACAGGGCGCUGAUUAAGCUUAAGUGUGUGGCGUCUGUUGCCCUUCCACUGUGAACCGCGUGAGGAAAUAGAGACCGUCUUCCCUCAGGAUUUGGCAACUGCUAUCCCAUUUGGCAGUUACUCAGGCUGUUCAUGAGCAGCACAGAAUAGUUCUGACGUGUUCUGUCCAAAGUUGCUCAGCUGUUAACGCGUGUUGUGGAGUCAGUUCUGACGUGUUCUGUCCAAAGUUGCUCAGCUGUUAACGCGUGUUGUGGAGUCAGUUCUGACGUGUUCUGUCCAAAGUUGCUCAGCUGUUAGCACGUGUUGUGGAGUCAGUUCUGACGUGUUCUGUCCAAAGUUGCUCAGCUGUUAGCACGUGUUGUGGAGUCAGUUCUGACGUGUUCUGUUUUCUCUUCUUGCCUGUUGAGGUGAGUGAGUCGGAAUGAGACUCGUUCCCCAAUUGUAACCAUAGGCUGGCCACAGAUACAAGGGUUCCAUGAAAACCGAAGCGGCCGUUCGGUGAGAGCCUGCGGGCUACGUGGAACUGACGAUAGAGCAUGUGCUCUGUUAUCUGUAAGCUGUGUGCUGUGUAUCUUCUGCGUGUAAGCUGCAUGACCUCUCUGGGUCCGCUGUUUAGGGGAGUUGGUUGUUAAACACUCCCUGAAGCCAUUUGUGCAAACGCCAAGUGGACGUGUUUAGAACCGACCACCUGCUCUUGUGGGCCUCAGUUCUCACCGCCCUUCCCACACGGACGUCCAGGUCUCUCUUUGGGAUAAGCCCUUGAGGAGUUCUCUUUCUUUGUGGCUUGGCUACGUAUUUUUUUAAAUAACUCUGCCCAGCAUUUCCAGAGUGGAAUACUUACAUGGGAUUUCAGCCUGCCCUAUUGCCCUCGGCCCUGAAUUCUGAAUUGCAUUCAUCAUGAGAAUCUUCCAUAUUGUGACACGUGCUCACGUAAGAUGUUCCGUGGCUGGGUCUCAGCAACAUCUCAGACACAUGGAAAGCAGAAGGUUCCCGGAGUGUAGGCAGGUUCCGAUGAGGUGCCGACUCGGGGAAGGAGAGCCUGGGACACUGGAGCAACAGGACGCAGCUGGGAGUCAAUCCCGCGAGCUUGAGAAGCUGCUCUGUAAGAGAGGAAGACCAGCAUGCUGGCGGACGCUGACGGACACGCUUGGCCUGGCCAGACUUCAUUUAUUUUUAUUUUUAACAAUGUUUUGGCUUUUAUUUUAGGGCCAGAGGUGUAUGUGCAGGUUUGUUUUAUAGGUAAACUUGUGACUUGGGGGUUUGGUGUACAGAUGAUUUCGUCACCUGGGUACUAAGCAUAGUACCCAACCAUUUUUUUCUGGGCCUCUCCUCCCACCCUCCAUCCUCAAGUGGGCCCCAGUGUCUGAUGUUGCCCUUUCUGUCCAUGUGUUCUCAUUAUUUUGCUCUCACUUAUUAGUGAGAACAUGUGGCGUUUGUUAUGUUUGGUUGUGAAUCCCCAUAUUCGUUUGCUAAAGACAAUGGCCUCCGGUUCUAUCCUUGUUCCUGCAAAGGACAGGAUUUCAUUCUUUUUUAUGGCUGCAUAGUAUUCCAUGGUAUAUAUGUACACAUUUUCUUUAUUUGGUCUGCCAUCAGUGGGCAUUUAGGUUGAUUCUGUGUCUUUGCUAUUGUGAAUACUUCUGUAAUAAACGUGAGCAUGUGUCUUUUUUUUAAAUUUUUUUCCUCACAGACAAGAAAAAGGCAGGGGCCUACACCACAAGGCCCAUUCAGUUAAUUCCUUUUUGUUGUUGUUUUUUUGUUUGUUUUAUGAGAUGAAGUCUCACUCUGUCGCCCAGGCUGGAGUGCAGUGGAGCGAUCGGCUCACCACAGCCUCCGCCUCUCAGGUCCAAGCCAUUCUCCUACCUCAGCCUCCGAAGUAGCUGGGACCACAAGUGUGUGCCACCAUGCCCUGCUAAUGUUUUGUAUUUUUAGUAGAGGCAAGGUUUCACGGUGUUAGCCAGGAUGGUCUCGAUCUCCUGACCUCGUGAUCUGCCCACCUCAGCCUCCCAAAGUGCUGGGAUGACAGGCGUGAGCCACCACGCCCGGUCCUGCAUGUGUCUUUAUGGUUGAACAAUUUAUGUUCUUUUGGGUAUUUACCAGUAGUGCGAUUGCUGGGUCAAAUGAUAGUUCUAUUUUUAGGUCUUUGAGGAAUCUCCACUCUGCGUUCUACAAUGGUUGAACUAACUCACACUCACACCAGCAGUGUGUAAGCAUCCCCUUUUCUGCACGGCCUCACCAGCAUGUGUCAUUUUUUAAACUAUUUAACAGUAACUGUUCUGCCUCAUGUGAGAUGAUGUCUCCCUGUGGUUUUGAUUUGCAUUUCUCUGGUUAGUGAUAUUGAGCAUUUCUUCAUAUGCCUGUUGGCCACAUGUAUGAGUGUUUGUUCAUGUCCUUCGCCCCUUUUUAAUGGAGUUGUUUAUUUUUUGCUUGUAUGUUUGUUUAAGAGCCUUGUAGAUUCUGGAUAUUAGACCUUCGUCAGAUGCAUAUUUUGUAAAUGUUUUCUCCCCUUCUGUAGGUCGUCUGUUUACUCUAUUGAUGGUUUCUUUGGCUGUGCAGAAGCUCUUUAGUUUAGUUAGGUCCCACUUGUCAAUUUUUGAUUUUGUUGCAAUUGCUUUUAGCAUUUUUGUCAUGAAAUCUUUGCCAGUUUCUAUGCUCAAAAUGGUAUUUCCUAGAUUAUCUUUCAGGGUUUUUAUAGUUUUAGGUCUUACAUUUAGGUCUUAAAUCCAUCUUGAUUUUUAAUGUGGUGUAAAUAAGGGGUCACGUUUCAAUCUUCUGCAUACGGCCAGUCAGCUACUCCAGCACCAUUUACUGACUAGGGAGUCCAUUUUCUGUUGCUUGUUUUUGUCACCUUUGUCAAAAAUCAGAUGGUUGUUGGUGUGUGGCUUUAUUUCUGGGCUCUCUAUUCUGUUCUAUUGGGUCUCUGUGUCUGUUUUUGCACCCGUACUAUGCUGUUUUGGUUACUGUAGCCUGUAGUAUAGUUUGAGGUCGGGCAAUGCAAUUCCUCCAGUUUCAUUCUUUUUGCUUAGAAUGGCCUUGUCUAUUUGGGCUCUUUUUUGAUUCCAUAUGAACUUCACUUCUGUGAAGAAUGCCAUUGCUCAUUGGAGAGGAAUAGUGUGGCCAUUUUAUAAAAGGAAAAUUUUUAUUGCAUUUUAGGUUUUGGGGUACAUGUGCAGAACAUACAAGUUGCAUAGGUACACACAUGGCAGUGUGUUUUGCUUCCUUUCUCCCCUUCACCCACAUUUGGCAUUUCUCCCCAGGCUAUCCCUCCGCAGCUCCCACCCACCCCGCUGGCCCUCCCCUUUUCCCCCCAAUAGACCCCAGUGUUUAGUACUCCCCUCUCUGUGUCCAUGUGUUCUCAUUUUUCAUCACCUGCCUAUGAGUGAGAAUAUGCGGUCUUUUAUUUUCUGUUCUUGUGUCAGUUUGCUGAGAAUGAUGUUCUCCAGAUUCAUCCAUGUCCCUACAAACGACACAAACUCAUCAUUUCUGAUUGCUGCAUAAUAUUCCAUGGUGUAUAUGUGCCACAUUUUCCCAGUCCAGUCUAUCAUCAGUGGGCAUUUGGGUUGGUUCCAGGUCUUUGCUAUUGUAAACAGUGCUUCAGUGAACAUUCGUGUACAUGUGUCCUUAUAGUAGAACGAUUUAUAGUCUUUUGGAUAUAUACCCAGUAAUGGGAUUGCUGGUUCAAAUGGAAUUUCUAUUUCUAAGGCCUUGAGGAAUCGCCACACUGUCUUCCACAAUGGUUGAACUAAUUUACACUUCUACCAACAGUGUAAAAGUGUUCCUUUUUCUCCACAUCCUCUCUAGCAUCUGUUGUCUCCAGAUUUUUUGUGUGGCCAUUUUAACGAUGUUGAUUCUUCUAUCCAUAAGCGCUGAAUGGUUUUCAUUUGUUUGUAUCACUUCUGAUUUCUUGGAGCAUUGUUCUGUAAUUCUCAUUGCAAAGAUCUUCCACUCUCUGGUUAGCUGUAUUCCUAGAUAUUUUAUUCUUCUUGUGGCAAUUGUAAAUGGGAUUGCAUUCCUGAUUUGGCUCAUGGCUUGGGUACUGUUAGUGUACAAGAAUGCUACUCAUUUUUGUACAUUGAUUUUGUAUCUCAAAACUUUGUUGAAGUUGCUUAUCAGCUCAAGAAGCUUUUCGGCAGAGAAUGUGGGGUUUUCUAGAUAAAGGAUCGUGUCAUCUGCAAACAGGGGCAGCCCGACGUCCUCUUUUCCUCUCUGGAUGCCUUUUAUUUAUCUUGCCUGAUUGCUCUGUUGGCCCAAAUUUAGCUGAGCUCUUACGUCCAUCUGUGCCAUCCUAUUUUAACAAAGAACCAUGUUAAGUCAGUUUAGCAAGAACCGUUCCCCCGCCCAUCCUUGAUAUCUGGUCACCCUCAAUAUCUGAUUGGGUCCCUCAUCCUCCACCAUCCCCCAGGUGAUGUCAGUCACCCUGGCCUCCCUUCAGCAAGAAUCCUGUUAGGUGGGUUUAGCCAGAAUCCCCUGAGCCUGGCGCUUCCUCUUGGUAACUCUCCAACUCUCCAUCCACUCACCCCGAGCCCACGCCUUGGCUGUGGCGCUGUCCGUGUCCCUGUGGUGUUUGGAACUGAGCUCUGCUAGGGUUUGGGUACUGGACCCUGCAAACCUCAUGUUGAAGUUUGAUGCCCACCGUGGGAUUUGGGGCCUAGUGAAAGGUUUUUGGGUCAUGGGGGUGGAUCCCUCGUGAAGAGACUAAUACUCUGGAAAUUCCCACGAAAGCUGGUUGUUAAAAGAGUCUGGCUCUCCCUCCAUGCCAUCUCCUGCUUUCUCUCUUCAUCUGAGCUCUGCACACGUAUGUGGCCAUGAGUGGAGGCAGCCUGAGGCCUCCCUAGAUGCAGGCACUGGCACCAUGCUUCUCACACAGCCUGCAGAACUGUGAGCCAGAAGCCUCUUUUCUUUAUAAAUUGCCCAGCGUCAGGCGUUCCUUCACAGCAAUGCAAGAUGGACUGAGAGGAGCCCGGUCUGUCUCCCCCAGCACCACCCCUGUGCCAGUCGCACGGGCCCUGAAUCAAAUCUUCCUGCGUUUCAACAGGUGUCAUUCAAUGUUUGUUUCUUCACCCCAAGCCCCUCUCGUGGGAGGGCGCUGAUUAGGAAUGACCUGAUUUUGGGACAAGGCGGCUCCAACGUCCUCCAUCUCUCACUGUUGCCAGUGGAGACGGCUGAGGGCAGUGGGGAAGGUCGUUGGCGGUGGUGGCACACCCUGGAGCCCUGGUCUCUCUGGUUACAGUUUGAAUGUCCUGCUGCAUCUCCCUGCCAUGUGGAGGGGUGUGAUUGUGUGGAUAUGGGGGAUGAGGUCUCCCUUCCCACCAAGGACAGAAGGACAGUCCUAAGAUGGGGUUGGAGCCCUAGAUGAGAGUAUGAGCCUCAUGGUCGGGGGGUGCGGGGCAGGGCUGCCGUUAGCCACGGUAGUGAUAUAUCCUCCUCUAGGACUGGGCAUGGGGAGGUGGCGGCAUCUCCCACCCCACGGUGUGGAAUCCAGGGGGUCCUGGGCACAGAGGGACAGGGACGGCACGUGUGGGACGGAUGCUGCCUGCAGCUCCUUAUUGAGACUGUUUAGUCCUGUUUUAAGCAUGAAAACUCAGUGACGCCCUGGCCCUUGGUACACAUCUAAUGCUGCGAAGGAAGCAGCAACAUGACCCGCGGUUCUAGAAAACAUCCAGUUUGUUUCGGCGUCUGAAUACAUGUUCAGGGCCUCAGGAAGCAGACGGAUGGGACCCUCCCCAAACAGAGACCGCUUGAAUG